Molecule: ribosomal RNA, 363 nt
Filed under: Anaplasma platys
Lineage: Bacteria; Pseudomonadati; Pseudomonadota; Alphaproteobacteria; Rickettsiales; Anaplasmataceae
Description: bacterial SSU rRNA
Rfam family: Bacterial small subunit ribosomal RNA
Source: RNAcentral
UGCAAGUCGAACGGAUUUUUAUCAUAGCUUGCUAUGAUAAAAAUUAGUGGCAGACGGGUGAGUAAUGCAUAGGAAUCUACCUAGUAGUAUGGGAUAGCCACUAGAAAUGGUGGGUAAUACUGUAUAAUCCCUGCGGGGGAAAGAUUUAUCGCUAUUAGAUGAGCCUAUGUUAGAUUAGCUAGUUGGUAGGGUAAAGGCCUACCAAGGCAGUGAUCUAUAGCUGGUCUGAGAGGAUGAUCAGCCACACUGGAACUGAGAUACGGUCCAGACUCCUACGGGAGGCAGCAGUGGGGAAUAUUGGACAAUGGGCGCAAGCCUGAUCCAGCUAUGCCGCGUGAGUGAGGAAGGCCUUAGGGUUGUAAA